Molecule: ribosomal RNA, 593 nt
Filed under: Bacillus stratosphericus
Lineage: Bacteria; Bacillati; Bacillota; Bacilli; Caryophanales; Bacillaceae
Description: bacterial SSU rRNA
Rfam family: Bacterial small subunit ribosomal RNA
Source: RNAcentral
CAUGCAAGUCGAGCGGACAGAAGGGAGCUUGCUCCCGGAUGUUAGCGGCGGACGGGUGAGUAACACGUGGGUAACCUGCCUGUAAGACUGGGAUAACUCCGGGAAACCGGAGCUAAUACCGGAUAGUUCCUUGAACCGCAUGGUUCAAGGAUGAAAGACGGUUUCGGCUGUCACUUACAGAUGGACCCGCGGCGCAUUAGCUAGUUGGUGAGGUAACGGCUCACCAAGGCGACGAUGCGUAGCCGACCUGAGAGGGUGAUCGGCCACACUGGGACUGAGACACGGCCCAGACUCCUACGGGAGGCAGCAGUAGGGAAUCUUCCGCAAUGGACGAAAGUCUGACGGAGCAACGCCGCGUGAGUGAUGAAGGUUUUCGGAUCGUAAAGCUCUGUUGUUAGGGAAGAACAAGUGCAAGAGUAACUGCUUGCACCUUGACGGUACCUAACCAGAAAGCCACGGCUAACUACGUGCCAGCAGCCGCGGUAAUACGUAGGUGGCAAGCGUUGUCCGGAAUUAUUGGGCGUAAAGGGCUCGCAGGCGGUUUCUUAAGUCUGAUGUGUAAGCCCCCGGCUCAUCCGGGUAGGGUCAUUGGA